RNAcentral lists this ribosomal RNA (465 nucleotides) under uncultured bacterium. RNAcentral's name for it is "partial 16S ribosomal RNA". It matches the Rfam family "Bacterial small subunit ribosomal RNA", at positions 339 to 795 of the family's 1533-position model. The record is from RNAcentral.
CUACGGGUUGCUGCAGUGGGGAAUAUUGGACAAUGGGGGAAACCCUGAUCCAGCAAUGCCGCGUGUGUGAAGAAGGCCUGCGGGUUGUAAAGCACUUUCGGUUGGGAGGACUGCUUCUAGCACUAAUAUUGUUGGAAGUUGACGUUACCUUCAGAAGAAGCACCGGCUAACUCCGUGCCAGCAGCCGCGGUAAUACGGGAGGUGCAAGCGUUAAUCGGAAUUACUGGGCGUAAAGCGCGCGUAGGCGGCUAGAUCAGUCGGGUGUGAAAGCCCCGGGCUUAACCUGGGAACUGCAUCCGAUCCUGUCUAGCUUGAGUACAGGAGAGGAGAGUGGAAUUCCACAUGUAGCGGUGAAAUGCGUAGAUAUGUGGAGGAACACCAAUGGCGAAGGCAGCUCUCUGGCCUGAUACUGACGCUGAGGUGCGAAAGCGUGGGGAGCAAACAGGAUUAGAUACCCCCGUAGUC